AAAUUGAAGAGUUUGAUCAUGGCUCAGAUUGAACGCUGGCGGCAGGCCUAACACAUGCAAGUCGAACGGUAACAGGAAGCAGCUUGCUGCUUUGCUGACGAGUGGCGGACGGGUGAGUAAUGUCUGGGAAACUGCCUGAUGGAGGGGGAUAACUACUGGAAACGGUGGCUAAUACCGCAUAACGUCGCAAGACCAAAGAGGGGGACCUUCGGGCCUCUUGCCAUCAGAUGUGCCCAGAUGGG
This 242-nucleotide ribosomal RNA is filed under the name Salmonella enterica subsp. enterica serovar Infantis. RNAcentral describes it as "partial 16S ribosomal RNA". It matches the Rfam family "Bacterial small subunit ribosomal RNA", at positions 1 to 239 of the family's 1533-position model. The record is from RNAcentral. Lineage: Bacteria; Pseudomonadati; Pseudomonadota; Gammaproteobacteria; Enterobacterales; Enterobacteriaceae. RNAcentral also lists the same sequence under 15 other names.